GUGGGGAAUAUUGGACAAUGGGCACAAGCCUGAUCCAGCCAUACCGCGUGGGUGAAGAAGGCCUUCGGGUUGUAAAGCCCUUUUGUUGGGAAAGAAAUCCUAUAUAUUAAUACUCGGUGGGGAUGACGGUACCCAAAGAAUAAGCACCGGCUAACUUCGUGCCAGCAGCCGCGGUAAUACGAAUGGUGCAAGCGUUACUCGGAAUUACUUGGCGUAAAGCGUGCGUAGGUGUUUGUUUAAGUCUGCUGUGAAAGCCCUGGGAUCAACCUGGGAAUUGCAGUGGAUACUGGGCAACUAGAGUGUGGUAGAAGGAUGCGGAAUUUCUGGUGUAGCAGUGAAAUGCGUAGAGAUCAGAAGGAACAUCCGUGGCGAAGGCGGCAUCCUGGGCCAACACUGACACUGAGGCACGAAAGCGUGGGGAGCAAACAGGAUUAGAUACCCUUGUAGUCC
RNAcentral lists this ribosomal RNA (450 nucleotides) under uncultured bacterium. RNAcentral's name for it is "partial 16S ribosomal RNA". It matches the Rfam family "Bacterial small subunit ribosomal RNA", at positions 354 to 796 of the family's 1533-position model. The record is from RNAcentral.